UUGUAAACAGCUGUUUGUUAGGUGUCUGAUAUGAACAAUGUUGUCAUGAAAAUAAGUGUAUGGUCAAUUAUUUGUUUGUACUUCGUACAUGGAAUACUAUGUUUGUAGAAAUCCCGCAAGCAUACAGGAUCGUUGUACAAGUAAUAAGAUUUGUGAGUUAAGAGUAUCGUUUCCACGAGGAAUAAGAUCUAAGUUGUAGUUCAAUAGUUAUUGUUAAAUUCAAAGUGUGGUGAAAGCAAACCUGUUGUAUAGAGAGAUCAUCCUCCUUGGAAGAUGCCUUAGAAUUGGCUCGAAUAAUAUUCCAUUCAAUGGUAUCUAAUCAAAUAGAAGUCUGACCUGAUUUGCUUGUUGGAAUCUUAUUUUGUCAGAAUCUUUUCGGAGGCCUUGGUGGUCU
Molecule: long non-coding RNA, 394 nt
Filed under: Olea europaea subsp. europaea
Lineage: Eukaryota; Viridiplantae; Streptophyta; Magnoliopsida; Lamiales; Oleaceae
Source: RNAcentral